Molecule: long non-coding RNA, 118 nt
Organism: Frieseomelitta varia
Lineage: Eukaryota; Metazoa; Arthropoda; Insecta; Hymenoptera; Apidae
Exons: 3
Source: RefSeq, a predicted model, not a curated record
UCUCGUUGAGUCUAGUUUAUUUCAGGACAUUUGAUUGUUUUGUACAGAUACUAAUUCAAUUCAUGGUUUAUAUAAUGUCUUUCGUUUAGAGUGACAUUUUGAAUAUGCUCUGAAAGAA